This 252-nucleotide ribosomal RNA is filed under the name uncultured bacterium. RNAcentral describes it as "partial 16S ribosomal RNA". It matches the Rfam family "Bacterial small subunit ribosomal RNA", at positions 524 to 776 of the family's 1533-position model. The record is from RNAcentral.
UACGUAGGUCCCGAGCGUUGUCCGGAUUUAUUGGGCGUAAAGCGAGCGCAGGUGGUUUAUUAAGUCUGGUGUAAAAGGCAGUGGCUCAACCAUUGUAUGCAUUGGAAACUGGUAGACUUGAGUGCAGGAGAGGAGAGUGGAAUUCCAUGUGUAGCGGUGAAAUGCGUAGAUAUAUGGAGGAACACCGGUGGCGAAAGCGGCUCUCUGGCCUGUAACUGACACUGAGGCUCGAAAACGUAGGGAGCAAACAGG